UACAAGCUACUUUUUCCGGAUCUGUGCAAAUACCUCCACUACCAAUCACGUAACCAAGAUAAUUGAUACUUGUUACACAGAAUUGACUUUUCGAAAUAUUUAAAGUCAAGUUGGCUUUUCUAAGCUGCUCAGCGAUGCGAACCAAUACCGCCAGAUGUGAACUGAAAUCUUCUGACACAAUACACAGAUCAUCUAAAUAAACAAACACGCAAUAGCGCAGGUCAGAAGGAAUUAUCGCGUCCAUUAACCGACACAUGGUAGAAGGCGCGUUACAAAGGCCAAAGGGCAUGACCUUAAACCGAUAUAGCGGUCUUCCGGGGACCGUAAAAGCAGUGAGAGGCUUUGAAUCCUCGGAGAGUUCUAUUUGCCAAUAGGCGUCUUUCAAAUCUAGUUUGGAAAUUAUAUUCGCCUUAGGUAGCCGCGAAAAAAUGCCAUCGAUGCUCGGCAAAGGAUAAGCAUCUUUUUUGGUGGCGUCAUUCAGUCUUCGAGCAUCCAGACAAAGGCGCACCUUGUUGGGCUUAAGGACGAGUCGCAUAGGCGAGCUCCAAGCGCUUACAGACGGCUCAAUAACUCCAAGCUGCAACAUGCGAUCAAUUUCUGCAUAUAACAACUUUUCUACGGCCGGACUUACAGGAUAGAAUCUUUGUUUCACUGGACGUGCGUCUCCUAUAUCUAUACGGUGUUGGAUCAAUGUUGUGCGGCCUAAUCUAUCAGCAGCGUUAGGGAACAACUGCUUUACUACGUGCAGCUGUUGCGUUUGCUGGCUAUCCAAGGGAAUUUAUAAUGGUUGGCGCAAGCUCAAAGGCUCUCCAAAAAUCAUGACCCAAAAUUCGAUUUUGGUUUAUAGAAGGAAUCAUAUACAGUUUCAAGGACUUGGUAGCCGAUUUAUACUGCAUUUUAACUUCAAGCACUCCGAUGACUUUCUGACUAUGGCCAUCUGCUGUUCUGACAUGCGAUUUAAUAGGCUUAAAUUCCGGCAUUGCGGUAAAAUCUUGUUGCGCAAGCGUAGAACCUAUGCAGCUCAUAUUCGCGCCUGUAUCCAAUAGACCAAGCUCGGUAAAGGUUAAAAAUGACACUUCGGCAUAGCUGCGCAUAUCGGUGGGAUUGCAAAAAACUGUCGAAACUAAAAGCUUGCUAUGUUGCUUGAUUUUUGAAUAAUAACUUUUCAAGCCCUGCGUUCGCUGAGAAA
Drosophila virilis is the source of this 1189-nucleotide non-coding RNA. Lineage: Eukaryota; Metazoa; Arthropoda; Insecta; Diptera; Drosophilidae. The record is from RefSeq and is a predicted model, not a curated record.